UGAACAGGUUGCUCGAGAAUUAGAUCUGAGGUGGAAGAGAAAAAUGACAUAAUUAACAAGAUUUUGCUUGAAAAAAGUUUCAGAUGGCAAUGGAAGUUACACAGAUCCUAUUAAAUGCCCAAGCAGUGGAUGGUGCUAUGAGGAAACAAGCUGAAGGCCAAAAGAGAAGAAGAAAUUGGCCUUAAAAGUUCGUUUAAGAGUGCAAAAGAGCAAGGUAUUGGAUUCCAUCAUAUAAAGCCUAUUGCUGCAUUCACCAUUUACAAAUGUCUUCUCCACUGG
Molecule: long non-coding RNA, 279 nt
Organism: Trifolium pratense (red clover)
Lineage: Eukaryota; Viridiplantae; Streptophyta; Magnoliopsida; Fabales; Fabaceae
Exons: 3
Source: RefSeq, a predicted model, not a curated record